Molecule: ribosomal RNA, 274 nt
Filed under: uncultured bacterium
Lineage: Bacteria
Description: partial 16S ribosomal RNA
Rfam family: Bacterial small subunit ribosomal RNA
Source: RNAcentral
AUACGGAGGGUGCAAGCGUUACUCGGAAUCACUGGGCGUAAAGCGCGCGCAGGCGGCUAUUUAAGUUGGAUGUGAAAGCCUACGGCUCAACCGUAGAACUGCAUCCAAAACUAUUAGACUAGAGUGUGGGAGAGGAAGAUGGAAUUAGUUGUGUAGGGAUAAAAUCCGUAGAGAUAACUAGGAAUACCAAAAGCGAAGGCAAUCUUCUGGAACACUACUGACGCUGAGGCGCGAAAGCGUGGGGAGCAAACAGGACUAGAUACCCAAGUAGUCC